Molecule: long non-coding RNA, 298 nt
Filed under: Lupinus angustifolius (narrow-leaved blue lupine)
Lineage: Eukaryota; Viridiplantae; Streptophyta; Magnoliopsida; Fabales; Fabaceae
Description: long non-coding RNA (LANG_LNC003329)
Source: RNAcentral
GAAGAAUAAGGAGCGGUAGAAAUGCAACAUAAAUGAUUUUCCAUUGUCAAUUUUUUGUAUAUAUUUUGUGCAUUUUUAUGCCUUCGAUCCAAUACACCUACCCAAUCAACAACGGGGUGGUGAGGUUUGAUUUUGCUGAUUGGAUCAAAUAACAUUUAUCCAAUCUAACUGUGUUUUAAUCGAUUCUAUUAUCCCCACUUAACCCAACCCAGCUAAAAUUUCAAUUAGUUUAAUUUUUAUUUAAAUUAAUCAAAUACGUUGAGCAUGGCAUGAUUAUCGCGGACGUAUUAGCAGGAGG